Molecule: ribosomal RNA, 450 nt
Filed under: uncultured organism
Description: partial 16S ribosomal RNA
Rfam family: Bacterial small subunit ribosomal RNA
Source: RNAcentral
CACUCCUGCGGGAGGCAGCAGUGGGGAAUAUUGGACAAUCGGCGCAAGCCUGAUCCAGCCAUGCCGCGUGAGUGAUGAAGGCCCUAGGGUUGUAAAGCUCUUUCACCGGUGAAGAUAAUGACGGUAACCGGAGAAGAAGCCCCGGCUAACUUCGUGCCAGCAGCCGCGGUAAUACGAAGGGGGCUAGCGUUGUUCGGAUUUACUGGGCGUAAAGCGCACGUAGGCGGACUAUUAAGUCAGGGGUGAAAUCCCGGGGCUCAACCCCGGAACUGCCUUUGAUACUGGUAGUCUUGAGUUCGAGAGAGGUGAGUGGAAUUCCGAGUGUAGAGGUGAAAUUCGUAGAUAUUCGGAGGAACACCAGUGGCGAAGGCGGCUCACUGGCUCGAUACUGACGCUGAGGUGCGAAAGCGUGGGGAGCAAACAGGAUUAGAAACCCCAGUAGUCCCAUGA